GACGAACGCUGGCGGCGUGCCUAAUACAUGCAAGUAGAACGCUGAAGGAGGAGCUUGCUUCUCUGGAUGAGUUGCGAACGGGUGAGUAACGCGUAGGUAACCUGCCUGGUAGCGGGGGAUAACUAUUGGAAACGAUAGCUAAUACCGCAUAAUAGUAGAUGUUGCAUGACAUUUGCUUAAAAGUUGCAAUUGCAUCACUACCAGAUGGACCUGCGUUGUAUUAGCUAGUUGGUGAGGUAACGGCUCACCAAGGCAACGAUACAGAGCCGAACUGAGAGGGGGAGUGGCCACCCUGGGAGUGAGACCCGGCACAGACGGCUACGGGAGGCAGCAGUAGGGAAUCUUCGGCAAUGGGCGGAAGACUGACCGAGCAACGCCGAGUGAGUGAAGAAGGAUUUCGGAUCGUAAAGCUCUGUUGUAAGGGAAGAACGAGUGUGAGAGUGGAAAGUUCACACUGUGACGGUAUCUUACCAGAAAGGGACGGCUAACUACGUG
This 495-nucleotide ribosomal RNA is filed under the name uncultured bacterium. RNAcentral's name for it is "partial 16S ribosomal RNA". It matches the Rfam family "Bacterial small subunit ribosomal RNA", at positions 28 to 507 of the family's 1533-position model. The record is from RNAcentral.